This 639-nucleotide ribosomal RNA is filed under the name uncultured archaeon. RNAcentral describes it as "bacterial SSU rRNA". It matches the Rfam family "Archaeal small subunit ribosomal RNA", at positions 83 to 728 of the family's 1478-position model. The record is from RNAcentral.
CGGCUCAGUAACACGUAGUCAACAUGCCCAGGGGACGUGGAUAACCUCGGGAAACUGAGUCUAAACCGCGAUAUGUCAGGAUUUCUGGAAUGGUUCCUGACUAAAAUCUGUAUGGCCUCUGGAUUGGACUGCGGCCGAUCAGGCUGUUGGUGAGGUAAUGGCCCACCAAACCUGUAACCGGUACGGGCUCUGAGAGGAGGAGCCCGGAGAUGGGCACUGAGACAAGGGCCCAGGCCCUAUGGGGCGCAGCAGGCGCGAAACCUCUGCAAUAGGCGAAAGCCUGACAGGGUUACUCUGAGUGACUUUCGCUAAGAAAGUCUUUUGGCACCUCUAAAAAGGGUGCAGAAUAAGGGGUGGGCAAGUCUGGUGUCAGCCGCCGCGGUAAUACCAGCACCCCGAGUGGUCGGGACGAUUAUUGGGCCUAAAGCAUCCGUAGCCGGUUCUGCAAGUCCUCCGUUAAAUCCAGCUGCUCAACAGAUGGGCCGCGGAGGAUACUACAGAGCUAGGAGGCAGGAGAGGCAAGCGGUACUCAGUGGGUAGGGGUAAAAUCCGUUGAUCCAUUGAAGACCACCAGUGGCGAAGGCGGCUUGCCAGAAUGCGCUCGACGGUGAGGGAUGAAAGCUGGGGGAGCAAACCGGA